Cyprinus carpio carpio is the source of this 2816-nucleotide long non-coding RNA. The record is from Ensembl. NCBI's taxonomy places the organism in Eukaryota, Metazoa, Chordata, Actinopteri, Cypriniformes, Cyprinidae.
AAUGCUGGGUUGUUUAAUCUACCCAACCGCUGGGUUAUGAAAUGCUUUACCCAUUAUGGGUUAUUUAUAUGGAAUUUGGGUUAUUUUGUGCAACUCAUGCGUUGAGUCAAAAUCCAUCAACCCAAUUUAUAUCGGUUGACCCAGCACGUGAGUUGUUUGUGCUUCGAACCUCAUCAUCACCAGAGUCCACACACCGAGCGCUCGUCACAGCAGAGAACCUGACUGCUCAUGCAGCGAGGCCAAUAAAUAAUAAAAGGUAUGUGUACACUACAUGUCUAAUUCACUUUGUCUGUGUUGCAUUACCAAUUAAAGUAGUAUCUUUAUAUUGUUGAGGCUGGUUGGUUGGUUUGGCUAACAAUGUAGCUAACGUUAGCCAUUACCAUAGAAGCACGGUUAUAAGCCUACAGCUUAUCCGUUUGGUCUGAAUUAUAUUAUAGAAUUAAUUAAACAAGUUCAUAAUGCCAAUGGGCAUAUAGUCAUGUAUAUUGAAUUUGACAGGCUAAUUUGCCAGCUAGUUUCAUGCUAGCCAGGUGAUUUGCCAGUUAGUUCCUUUGCUAGCUAUAUUAUUUUAACUGGCUAUAAACGAACGCGCUUGUUUUUCCUGAAGCUUUUAAUGUGACAUGUGAAGGCAUAACACAGUGUUUGACUGAUUAAAAUAUGUAAAAACAGUGAGAUAAUUUGAUCUGUCUUGUUAUGUGGUGACCCACAAUCGAUAAGAACAAAUUCUUAUUUAAAAUUGGCGGCCUGGCCACUUGAGUGAAGGGUUGAUGUGACACCCCAAAGUAUGUGCACAUUUUGUGUAAAGGUGUUAUACUUUAAGCAAAAGUUUCUUUUUAUUGAUGUGAACUGUAAGAUAUUUGGGACUUGAAAGUAAAUCAGUAAGGUUAGAAUAGUUUGUUGUGGUGAGAAACCAGGACUCUUAUUUUGAAAACUGAAAGGAGGACUCUGAUAUAGGCGCUGUGUGCGCGCCCGCGCCCUUACAUCUGCUGAGCAACUGGUGCGACGUGACACGGAUUUUUCCUGUUAUUUUGCAGGUAUUAUUGUUACAACAACUUGAUAAUAUGUACACGAGAUCUGUAAUGCAAAUGUAUGUUCAUACCGCAGAUAUUUUGUAUAACUUAAUGACGUUCGUGGUUGUGAAUAUGUUGAUAUGCAGACUGCCCGCCAUUUUGUGAACGCUGUAACACGAGGUGAUUGUGAAAUGCGUUUAAUUCGAUUCAAAUUGACUUCAGUUACAGGUUAUAGUGUUCAUUAUGAGUUUACUUCAAAUUUGUGUUUGGUUUAUUAAGUUAUGUAUACAUAUAACGAUCGGAUGCACUUAUUUUGCAGAACUGUCUUAUCUUUCCAACGCCUUCUGCGCGGGGUCUGUAACAUCAAGAAAUAUAUAAUAUAUUAAUAUUUAUGUGCCCUGAAGGCUAUGCUGUGAGCAGCCACAAAUAUUCUUGUGCAGUAAAAACAGUUUACAUGUAUGCAAUUUGUCAUAUGAAUUGUAUAGAGAGAGGGAGGAUUGUUUUCUCUAUAUAUUAGUGAUGCUAAAUAAAAUGGCUGGUAUCUUCACAUUGUUUUACAUUUCUGUGUCUGCAUUGCUUUUGCAUGGUGACAUAUGAAUAGUUAAUACAAUAGCAAUUGUAUUUUUGCUUAAGCUCUUUUUGUGUUUGUUUCAGAUCAAUUGACAGCUUUGUCAUUAACACUGACAGACCUUGUCGAAAGAUUUAAAGGUAAGAAAUAUUUUUCCCAUCCACCGCAUAUUAAGUCUGCAUUACUACUCAAGCCCUUUUCAGACAUGAAUUCUUAUGAAAUAUAAUUUCCUGUUUUUUUCAAUAGCUUCCAUAGGGCACAUGUCUUUUACUGUGCACGCACACAUGCAUAUCCAGCCUGGAAUAAACAUGGUGGAGUACCUCCAUGAGGCCAAGGCAUGCAAGACAUACCCUCACAUCCUGACGCUGGGAAAUGAUCAGAGUGCAUUUCAGGCCUUCGUCAUAAUAGCUGGACAGGCCCUGGAACUAGAAACACUGCUUUGGGCCAUUGAUGUCUGCUUCAAGGCAUUCUUUGUCUUUGACAUUGAAUACCCAAAGCAGUGUGAACAUGUGUGGGAAUUCAUACAGAAUGUGAUAUAUGAAAUCUAAAAUGGUUAAGUUUAUUCAAACUAGAAUACUUGCUUGCAAGUAGAGAUAAUGGCUCUUAAAAGCAGCAUUAAGGAAUUUGAAUUUGUUCACUAGAGCUGCUGACUGUUGGCCUGUUGAAUGUUCAGCCAGUUCAAUCGAAAUUGUUUUGCUUUGAAUGUUUUCCAACCUGAGUGAACUGCACCAGUUCCACUAUAUUGUCGAUAUUAAUGUAAUAAAUUUUUUCAAAGAUUCCAUUGUUUUGUUCUUGUAUUGUUUAAGUGUUUAUUGCAUAAUAUAUGCAUAAAUCUAGCAUGUAUUCUGUUCUAGGUUUGUAGUUUCACAGUUUUAUAUGGGUAGUCUAUUGCAAUUUAUUUUCUUAAAUUGUAGUGUAAUGUGUUAAGACUUAAUCUGGCAUAUGGGUUAAUUUUACCCAUCUUAAUAUGUAGUUGAAUCAACCCAGAAUUGUAUUUAAUUUGACCCAGAAUUUAGGUACACUAUUUAACAAAUAUGUAGUUAAAUCAACCCAUAAUUGUAUUUAAUUUGACCCAGAAUUUGGGUAGAAUAUUUAACUCAUCUGUUGGGUUAAAAAUGACCAACCCAUCUUGCUGGGUCAAAUUAACUACCGUUGGUCUGGUGCAAUAUUGAUCCAGCGGUUGGGUUAUAAAACAACCCAAGGUGGGUUAUUUUUAACCCAUCAUUUUUCUGUGUGUA